Molecule: ribosomal RNA, 402 nt
Filed under: uncultured Paracoccaceae bacterium
Lineage: Bacteria; Pseudomonadati; Pseudomonadota; Alphaproteobacteria; Rhodobacterales; Paracoccaceae
Description: bacterial SSU rRNA
Rfam family: Bacterial small subunit ribosomal RNA
Source: RNAcentral
UGGGGAAUCUUAGACAAUGGGCGCAAGCCUGAUCUAGCGAUGCCGCGUGAGUGACGAAGGCCUUAGGGUCGUAAAGCUCUUUCGCCAGGGAUGAUAAUGACAGUACCUGGUAAAGAAACCCCGGCUAACUCCGUGCCAGCAGCCGCGGUAAUACGGAGGGGGUUAGCGUUGUUCGGAAUUACUGGGCGUAAAGCGCACGUAGGCGGAUUGACAAGUAUAGGGUGAAAUCCCGGGGCUCAACCCCGGAACUGCCUUAUAAACUGUCUGUCUUGAGUUCGAGAGAGGUGAGUGGAAUUCCGAGUGUAGAGGUGAAAUUCGUAGAUAUUCGGAGGAACACCAGUGGCGAAGGCGGCUCACUGGCUCGAUACUGACGCUGAGGUGCGAAAGCGUGGGGAGCAAACA